RNAcentral lists this ribosomal RNA (263 nucleotides) under uncultured bacterium. RNAcentral's name for it is "partial 16S ribosomal RNA". It matches the Rfam family "Bacterial small subunit ribosomal RNA", at positions 335 to 590 of the family's 1533-position model. The record is from RNAcentral.
UGUACCUACGGGACGCAGCAGUGGGGAAUAUUGCACAAUGGGGGAAACCCUGAUGCAGCAACGCCGCGUGAGUGAAGAAGGUUUCGGCUCGUAAAGCUCUGUUGUUGGAGAAGAACGUGCGUGAGAGUAACUGUUCACGCAGUGACGGUAUCCAACCAGAAAGUCACGGCUAACUACGUGCCAGCAGCCGCGGUAAUACGUAGGUGGCAAGCGUUAUCCGGAUUUAUUGGGCGUAAAGCGAGCGCAGGCGGUUGCCUUGGUCU